This 253-nucleotide ribosomal RNA is filed under the name uncultured bacterium. RNAcentral's name for it is "partial 16S ribosomal RNA". It matches the Rfam family "Bacterial small subunit ribosomal RNA", at positions 524 to 776 of the family's 1533-position model. The record is from RNAcentral.
UACGUAGGGUGCAAGCGUUGUCCGGAAUUAUUGGGCGUAAAGAGCUCGUAGGCGGUCUGUCGCGUCUGCUGUGAAAACUCGGGGCUUAACCCCGGGCCUGCAGUGGGUACGGGCAGACUAGAGGUAGGUAGGGGAGAUCGGAAUUCCUGGUGUAGCGGUGAAAUGCGCAGAUAUCAGGAGGAACACCGGUGGCGAAGGCGGAUCUCUGGGCCUUACCUGACGCUCAGGUGCGAAAGCUAGGGGAGCAAACAGG